ACUCCUACGGGAGGCAUCAGUGGGGAAUUUUGGACAAUGGGGGCAACCCUGAUCCAACAACGCCGCGUGAAUGAAGAAGGCCCUAGGGUUGUAAAGUUCUUUUGUCAGGGAAGAAAAGGCUUGUGCUAAUAUCACAAGCUGCUGACGGUACCUGAAGAAUAAGCACCGGCUAACUACGUGCCAGCAGCCGCGGUAAUAC
RNAcentral lists this ribosomal RNA (199 nucleotides) under uncultured bacterium. RNAcentral describes it as "partial 16S ribosomal RNA". It matches the Rfam family "Bacterial small subunit ribosomal RNA", at positions 335 to 526 of the family's 1533-position model. The record is from RNAcentral.